CCAACCUGCGGCACGAAAGCGAUAAGGAGACACUGAAACUGACCAGCUGCUUGCUGCCCAGUGCCCACUCGCCGGAGAACCAUGGCCACGGCGGCGGCGUGUGUGCGGGUGGCUUCUCCGUUCACGGGCGCACCUCUCCGGCAUCCCUCCCACGUCAUCUCAGCGAGGCGGGGACCCAGGAGGGCCGGGCUAGCCGUCACGGCGACGGCCGCGACCGGCGGUGGGUCGCCGCGCACUGUGCUCGUCACCGGCGCCGGCGGCCGAACAGGCCAAAUUGUGUACAAGAAGUUGAAGGAGAGGGCAGGCGAGUUCGUGGGACGAGGCCUAGUCACGACGGAAGAGAGCAAGGGAAAAAUCGGAGGCGGUGACGACGUGUUCGUCGGGGACAUAAGAGACCCCGAGAGCAUUGCUCCUGCGAUUGAGGGCAUCGACGCGCUCAUCAUCCUCACCAGCGCGGUCCCGAAGAUGAAGCCAGGGUUUGAUCCGAGCAAAGGGGAGCGCCCUGAGUUUUACUUUGAAGAAGGGAGCUAUCCUGAGCAGGUGGAUUGGAUUGGACAAAAGAAUCAAAUAGAUGCUGCUAAGAGCAUCGGUGCAAAACACAUAGUUUUGGUGGGAUCCAUGGGAGGAACAGACACCAAUCACCCACUAAACAAGUUAGGAAAUGCGAAUAUACUGGUGUGGAAGCGCAAGGCAGAACAGUACCUAGCGGACUCUGGUCUUCCAUAUACAAUUAUAAGAGCUGGUGGUUUACAAGAUAAAGAUGGUGGCUUGCGAGAGUUGAUUGUUGGGAAGGAUGAUGAGAUCCUGAAAACAGAAACAAGAACUAUUGCCAGGGCUGAUGUCGCAGAAGUUUGCAUACAGGCCUUGCUAUUCGAAGAGGCAAAAUUUAAGGCAUUUGAUCUGGCAUCAAAACCAGAAGGUGAAGGGACGCCAACUACAGACUUUAGGGCAAUUUUUGCACAAGUUGAUAGUCACUUCUAAAAGAUAAGAUUGUCAUUGCCAAGAAAGUGAGGGCAUUCUUUUAUAAAGCGCUAUGAAAUGUGUAUUGAGGAAGGAACCUUGUGUUGAUCAAUACCACCUCCAUCUUCUGACCAGAGAUGGCAUUUGCUCUGAACAUUGAUGCCGUCAAUUUUGGGAGCUGCCAGCGGCUGCCUUCAUCAGCAACAAAAGCCCAUGAUAAACCCCUUUCUUUGUAUCUGCCUAUCUGGUACUAAAUUCAAGAUGACUGGAUUGACAUAAAGCUGCUCGCUUUGAGAAAUUUUACUUGCUACUACUUAAGCAAAAGCCAAUGUCUUAUACAAUCGUUUCAAUAUCAGUUCAGCCAACAAACUAAGCAA
Molecule: RNA transcript, 1337 nt
Organism: Sorghum bicolor (sorghum)
Lineage: Eukaryota; Viridiplantae; Streptophyta; Magnoliopsida; Poales; Poaceae
Exons: 9
Source: RefSeq, a predicted model, not a curated record